RNAcentral lists this ribosomal RNA (253 nucleotides) under uncultured bacterium. RNAcentral describes it as "partial 16S ribosomal RNA". It matches the Rfam family "Bacterial small subunit ribosomal RNA", at positions 524 to 776 of the family's 1533-position model. The record is from RNAcentral.
UACGUAGGAGGCAAGCGUUGUCCGGAAUUACUGGGCGUAAAGCGCGUGUAGGUGGUGGGACAAGUCUGCUGUGAAAGCGCCUGACUUAACCGGGCGAGGUCGGCGGAAACUGUCCGACUAGAGGACGGUAGAGGGGGGUGGAAUUCCCGGUGUAGUGGUGAAAUGCGUAGAGAUCGGGAGGAACACCUGUGGCGAAGGCGGCCCCCUGGGCCGGCCCUGACACUGAGACGCGAAGGCGUGGGGAGCGAACGGG